UACGUAGGGCGCAAGCGUUGUCCGGAAUUAUUGGGCGUAAAGAGCUCGUAGGCGGCCUGUCGCGUCGGUUGUGAAAGCCUGGGGGCUUAACCCCCGGGUCUGCAGUCGAUACGGGCAGGCUAGAGUUCGGUAGGGGAGAUCGGAAUUCCUGGUGUAGCGGUGGAAUGCGCAGAUAUCAGGAGGAACACCGGUGGCGAAGGCGGAUCUCUGGGCCGUAACUGACGCUGAGGAGCGAAAGCGUGGGGAGCGAACAGG
This 255-nucleotide ribosomal RNA is filed under the name uncultured bacterium. RNAcentral's name for it is "partial 16S ribosomal RNA". It matches the Rfam family "Bacterial small subunit ribosomal RNA", at positions 524 to 776 of the family's 1533-position model. The record is from RNAcentral.